UGGGGAAUAUUGGACAAUGGGCGAAAGCCUGAUCCAGCCAUGCCGCGUGAGUGACGAAGGUCUUCGGAUUGUAAAGCUCUUUUGGCGGGGACGAUAAUGACGGUACCCGCAGAAUAAGCCCCGGCUAACUUCGUGCCAGCAGCCGCGGUAAUACGAAGGGGGCUAGCGUUGUUCGGAAUUACUGGGCGUAAAGCGCACGUAGGCGGAUUGCUAAGUCAGGGGUGAAAUCCCGGGGCUCAACCUCGGAACUGCCUUUGAUACUGACAGUCUUGAGUCCGGAAGAGGUGAGUGGAAUUCCUAGUGUAGAGGUGAAAUUCGUAGAUAUUAGGAAGAACACCAGUGGCGAAGGCGGCUCACUGGUCCGGUACUGACGCUGAGGUGCGAAAGCGUGGGGAGCAAACAGG
RNAcentral lists this ribosomal RNA (404 nucleotides) under uncultured Hyphomicrobium sp. RNAcentral describes it as "bacterial SSU rRNA". It matches the Rfam family "Bacterial small subunit ribosomal RNA", at positions 355 to 776 of the family's 1533-position model. Lineage: Bacteria; Pseudomonadati; Pseudomonadota; Alphaproteobacteria; Hyphomicrobiales; Hyphomicrobiaceae. The record is from RNAcentral.